This 1771-nucleotide long non-coding RNA is filed under the name Daucus carota (carrot). Its description in RNAcentral is "long non-coding RNA (DCAR_LNC005892)". The record is from RNAcentral. Lineage: Eukaryota; Viridiplantae; Streptophyta; Magnoliopsida; Apiales; Apiaceae.
UCAAAUCAUUCUGAACUUUUGUUUCGAGGAAGAACAAAGAGAUUGGUAACAUAGGAGAACCACAAAUUCGAAAAAUCAUGAUUGAAAACAAACUUGUCAUAGAAAGAAAGUUUAAUACCAUAUUUCACAUUCAAUUUCUGCAGCACAAGCAAAUAAUCAUGUCCCCUGCACAGUAUUUUCUAAGAAAUUCACCAGAAUAACUCAUAUCUGCACGAGUGUCAUGCUUCACAGCUCUAAUUCCAAAUAUGUUGGGGGAGAAGUUAUAUGCACCAGAUUUAGAAAUAACAGAAGCUUCGGAAAAACAUCCUGAUACAAGACACAAACUAGGAUCUAGGUCCAAACUCUACAAAUAAAUUUGUGUUUAAGCAUAAACACUUCCUUUCUGAAUAGACCUCAGGCCUAUGUCAAAUACACAAUAUAACAGAAACAACAUAAUGGACAUGCUCUUGACAAAUACACAAACCAAUCCCAUCACGAUAUAUAAUAGAAAAUUAGAAACUGGUCUAUUAGGAUCGAUUCCAUGUUCAGAUCCCAAGCAUAUAUGUAAACAGUAGACUCACAGGCAUAAAGCUCCCGACUAUAAAUCUGAAUUCAAAACAUUUAGAAGCUCAGUUGACACAAGGAUAUCAAUCAGAAAGGCAUAUAUAACAACCUAAUAUUUAGGUUUCCUUGAAGUAAACAUCAAAUUUAUAUCAAGUAGAUGCACCGGAGGAAAUGGUUCAGUCUAAAUUUGUACAGAGAAUUUGACAGAUCAGCUCCUAAUUUCUUAAUCUACUGGGAAAAGCCUAAAAUAGUAAUUGCUUACAGAAGGUCCAAGUAAAAUCAGUAUUCAUCAUAGCAUACUGAUUAAUACGCAAUCCUAGGGGCUACAAAAAGAAUGCAAACUAACAUUUGGUCAUUAAGUCACUACCCCAAAUAGCCAAUGUCAAAAGUUCAGACUUAAAUUCAAUUAAUCAUGUAUGAUAUAAAGACCAAUCCCCGAACAAGCAACAACAGCCAAGGUAGAUUGUCUUGAACCUACAAUUUUUCAUCUCUUUAAAGAAAUAGGGUUCGGGAGUUCCAAUAGAGCAUACAGGAAAUAGCAAGUACACACGUAAAUCACGCCAAGCACGACCUUCAGUACACGAGAUGUAAAUCACGCCAAGCACAACCUUCAACUAGUCUAAUACAAUGCAUGUCCUUUUAAAAAAGUCAGGGUGCUACCAAACAUUGACAUGACACUAGGACAGGAUAUCUUACUCGCAACCUACAAACAACACAGGACAGACUCAUAUCAACAGAAAAUUAUUAAUCUCUUUUCAGAAUAAGGGGUUCAAGUAGUAAAGAAGCAAGUAAUGACUUUAGCAAUCACACUGAGCACAACCUUCAACUAGUCAGAUACACAGCAUAUCCUUUUAGAAACAAACUUGGGGGUGCUACUGAAGAUUUAACAUGACAUUAGGACAUGAUAUCUUACUUGCAAGUUGCAACCAGGACAGAAUCAGAUCAACUCAAAUACAUCACACCUUUUGCAGUACAAAAGCCACAAUACAUUAUACUUGCAACAUUUAAAUAUAAGCUUAUGUAGAAGCUGAACUCACUCAAGAGUCAAGGAGAGGACCCAAAGAGGCUUGUUAUCGAUAUGCAUAUGGUGACGGUACAUCUGGGGUACAUAUACAAUCAAUCCAAGAAUAUAUAUAUAUAUUUCAUUCAAGAGAACAUCUUUCUUCUCUCUAAUUAUUACAGUUUUGAGGGUACUCCCAACUUCUAAUUCAGGUCCAAGCACAUACUA